Zea mays is the source of this 4941-nucleotide long non-coding RNA. RefSeq lists it as uncharacterized. The transcript has 2 exons. The record is from RefSeq and is a predicted model, not a curated record. Lineage: Eukaryota; Viridiplantae; Streptophyta; Magnoliopsida; Poales; Poaceae.
GAUGCAGGAAGGAAGAGUGAUUGCUUAUGGCUCAAGGCAGUUGAGGAAGCAUGAGGGGAAUUAUCCAACUCAUGAUCUGGAAUUGGCCGCGGUGGUUUUUGCUCUAAAGUCGUGGAGGCAUUACCUUUAUGGCGAGGCUUGUGACAUUUUCACCGAUCACAAAAGUCUCAAAUAUAUUUUUACUCAGAAGGAGCUGAAUUUGAGGCAGCGACGGUGGCUGGAAUUGAUUAAAGAUUAUGAUUUGUCCAUUCAUUAUCACCCGGAGAAGGCUAAUGUGGUGGCUGAUGCCCUUAGCAGGUCCGGGGUUCCAAAGGUGGCCUUGCCGUUGAUCGCUGAUCUAGACCGUUUGGGGAUCGCUUUGUGUUAUGUCGGCACUGCUAGCAAGGAGACUCAGAUGCUUAUUCAAUCCUCUCUCAUGGAGAGAGUGCGUGCGGCUCAGUAGCAGGAUCGUCUAUUGCAGGAAGCUCGAAAGAGGGUGGGUGAUGGUAAACCGCGGGAGUUCACCAUUGAUGAGAAUGAUUUGGUUUGUUUCAGGGGCCUCCUCUGUGUGCCUCAGAAAUCAGAGGUGAAAAUGGAUAUCUUGAGAGAAGCUCAUAAAACGCCUUACACCGUCCAUCCUGGCGAAACCAAAAUGUACCGAGAUUUGAAGCAAAACUUCUGGUGGAAGCGGAUGAAGGUUGACGUUUCUAAGUAUGUGGCCGCCUGUGAAGUAUGUCAGCGCGUGAAGGCCGAGCAUAAGCGGCCUGUAGGUUUGCUGAAGCCAUUAGAAAUUCCAGAGUGGAAAUGGGAGCAUAUCACCAUGGAUUUUGUGGUGGGUCUACCUCGUUCCCCUCAUGGCAGGGAUGCUAUUUGGGUGGUAGUGGAUCGCUUGACUAAGUCUGCGCAUUUUAUUCCCAUGAAGACCACAAGUUCAGCUUCAGAUUUGGUUCCCUUGUAUAUGAAGGAAGUAGUCAGGCUUCACGGGGUACCUAAGUCUAUUGUUUCUGAUCGAGACUCCAAAUUUGUAUCCAAAUUCUGGGAGAGUCUCCAUAGUGCCUUGGGCACCAAGCUUUCGCUUAGUGUCGCUUUUCACCCUCAGACGGAUGGUUAGUCAGAGCGAACAAUCCAAACCUUGGAAGACAUGUUGUGUGCUUGUGUUCUGUCAUGGAAGGGUAGCUGGGAGGAUCAUCUUGCUCUGGCAGAGUUUGCUUAUAACAACAGCUACCCGGCUAGCAUCAAGAUGGCACCAUUUGAGGCUUUCUAUGGAAGGCGGUGUAUCUCUCCUCUGUGCUGGGAGACUUUGGGAGAGAGAUCCGUGGUUGGUCCUGAUUGGGUUCAACAAACUUCUGAAAAGGUUCGGGAAAUUCGUCAGAAUAUUUUGGCAGCUCAGAGUCGUCAGAAGAGUUAUGCUGAUGUGAGGAGGCGGGAUCUGGAAUUUGCUGUGGGUGACCAAGUCCUUCUCAGGGUAUCACCCACUAAGGGAGUUGUUCGGUUCGGUGUCUCUGGGAAGCUCAGCCCGAGAUACAUUGGACCGUUCACUAUCUUGGCUCGAGUGGGCAGCCUGGCUUAUCGCUUGCUACUGCCGGAUUCCAUGGCAGGGGUACACCCGGUUUUUCAUGUCUCUAUGUUGAGGAAGUUCUUGCGAGAUCCGGACCAUCAGAUUGAGAUGGAACCAAUUGCGGUGCAGCAGGAUCUGACUCUGGAGUGUCGUCCGGUGCGUAUAUUGGAAUUCUCGGAGCGUGUGUUGAGGAAGAGAUCAAUUAAGUAUGUCAAGGUCUUAUGGACUAAUCAGUCUGAGCGCGAGGCUACGUGGGAACUUGAGGAGCUGAUGCGGCAGAAGUACCCGGAACUUUUCGUUGUGGGUAAGUGUUGUUGAUUCAUUAAUCUUUUCUUUUGUCAUUCCGAUAGAAGCGUCAGAAUUCGAGGUCGAAUUCUUUUUAAGAGGGGUAGAGUGUGAUACCCGGUUUGCAAAGAAGAGAAGUUGGGGGUUGUUCUUUUUGUUUUUUUCCCUCAUCCGGUUGUUGUUUUGGUGAUUUGGAAUUUUGUGGAAAACAUUCACAACUAGGGCAGUAGAAUUUAUUUGGUUUGACGCUUGCGUUGCGGUCGGGAGCUGUCGCGUGGGUUAGUUGGGCCGCAAUUGGUGUUUCGGCCCAUUAACCCUCCCAAACCCUAGCCGCCUCCCUCCUAACCCCCUCCCCCCUUGUGCAGCCGCCCCCCCACUUCGCCCCCCUUGGUCGCCGCCCCCCCUGCCCAUCUCCUCUCUCAAUUCUUGCAGCCACCAAACCCUAGCCGCCCCCCCCCCCCUCAAUCCCCUCCUCCCAAGGUGCCAAUCCUUGCCGCUCGGAUCAUCGUCACGUGGUGCGAGUCUUCAAUCGUUUUGGUGGAGGGAAGAAGGGAGGAAGGAAAGGGGGAGAAUCCAAGGUGAUUUUUGUGUUCAUGCCUUGUUCAUUUGCGCUGCAAUUUAAUUGAUUAGAGGUUGCGUUUGCGAUUGGGUAGAGGGGGCUGUCCAGAAUUUUAGGUGGUGGAUGAACAGCAGUAGUUCUAGCAGUUUCUGUGUUUUUUCGUGAGAAAUUAAGGGAAAUCAGUUUGGGGAUCAUGUAUAACUUUGUCUUACCUUUCCAACGAGUAUUUAUGCGCUCAAUUUGGAGUUAUAAAUUGAAAGUUAUCACCGUUUGAAUCCGGGUAUGUGGCUGUCCAAAAAAACAGAUUUUCAGGGGGAUGAACAGCAGCAGUAUUAGCAGUUUCUGGGGAUUUUUCAGGAUUAAUUAGGGUUAAUCAGUAUAAGAAUCAUGAAGGGCUCUUUCUUAUCUUUCCAACAAGUACUUAUGCGCUUGAUUCGGAAUUAUAUUUUAAAAGUUAUCGCUGUUUGAAUCCGAGUAUGUCGCUGCCCAAAACAGAAAAAAACAGAUUGCAGGGUUUAUUUUGUGGACCGUUUAGGGGUAAUUAGAUGUUAGAAUUUAAUCAUAAAUUGUAUACAAAACUUGUGGGGAAUUUUAUGUAGUUGCCUCUGGAGUUUUUGUUUGACACCACUGCUGUCUUAAUUUUAAAGUUAUGGAAUUGUUAAGCAGCGCCGCUGCAGUUUGGUUGGUGUGGGGAGAAUUGUUACCCGCGGCGGGGUUUGAGAUUGCGCGUAGGUGCGGCGUUGUUUUGAGUUUUACGUGAAUUUGGUGCACUAAGUUGGGUGUCAAAAACAGGUGGUGGACUCCCAGAUCGUUCUUAGGGAUGUGCCCAAACUUCCGGUGAAGGCAAGUAAAACUGUGAUGGUUAUUCCGUCUGUCAGAUGAGGAGUCUUAUACUUGUUUAUGUUGUGCUAUUAUGAUCAAAUUCAUAUUUUCUUUUGAGUACCAUCAUUUGAAAAUGUUCAUGUUUCAUGGAUUUCAUAUGUUGAGUUUGAGGUUUGAUUAUGUUACUCAAGUGGUUAUUAUGUGGAAUGGGUGGAAGUAAAUGCCUAGCACAUUUUUAUUUGGGAAGAACUCAUGAUGUUGUCAUGCAUAAUGCACUCAUCAUCCAUUGCAUUGAUGUUUCGUCGCGAUCUUAUGGUCCGACCGUACCGGUACAUUGAGCAUCAUAUGUUUCCCAAGAAGGGGUAUGGUGCAGCUUCAUAUCCUUAGAGAUAUGGAGGCAGAAGUCAUUAUUGCAUUUGUAGCCAUGUGCAUUCAUGGGAGAGGUGUUGAAUCUAUUAUGUGGAUGUGGAUAAUUUGGACUUGUGCAUGGUGAUUCUACUUGGCGUUGAGUUUUUAGUUACUUGUUUACUUGCUGCAAUUUACUGUUCAAAAGAAAGAAAAGAAGUCCUGAACACGUGGUUGUGUAAGCACAGUUGAUUUACAAUGUCCUAUUUGUUGUUGUUAUGUUUACUUGCUGAGAUGUGUUAUCUCACAUCUUGCAUUGCUUGAUGCAGGCACCUAAUUUCUGCUUUGGGAAUAGAGGGAUGUAGCAGCACGGCCACUACACCUUUAAUAAAGGAACCACCAUUUAAUAAUGUUGUUAAUCAGAGUUGGACAAGUCUAGUGAAUUGCUUUGUUCUUGGUUGAGCGUUUAUUUUGGGGUGGGCUGAGUUUCUUAUCCCAUUUGUUUUGCUUUAGUUGGGUCAUAAUUAAGUUUUACCACUUUUGCAUUUCAGUUUCUACUAUGUGAAUUAUAUGUCUUUAUAUCUUGUAUGAGCUUCAUGUUUCCCCUCCUUGUUAUGCUAGUUUUCAAAGGAGGUGCUGCCGGAUUUUUGCUAUAUAUUCUUUCUUUAUUACUUCUCUUGUGUUGAGUAAGUUUGGUGGGUGGGGUUUGUGGUAUUAUCCAUUGUGUGUGACCAGUGGGGUGUUACAGCUAACCUGGAUCCGGACUCGGAGGAAACGACCGUCGCGCUAGGAUUAACCAGGUCACAAAAACGCGGCGAACACCCCGCAACAAACCCCAUCAUCCCUAGCUUGGCGGAUUCGGGUAGUUACCACAGAAUCCGAGCAUCCCUGUUGCGUCUGUUGCCGAGCACGCGUGAUUUCGUUUUGGGGAGGAAGAACAAACUGUCAAGGCGGCCCCAGUGAUCAGUGUCCGAGCGCAGGUGAGAAUGACAGCGCGGGUUCACAAGCAAUGCUAGUGGCAUCAUACGUGAGACUUGCGGGUGGGACCCGCCUGCUAGUGCAUGAUGUAGAUGGUUGGCGCGAGAUGGUCAGUUGGGCCCAGGGGCGCGCACUUAAUGGGCCGAGGCAGGAUGGGGUAACUAGGGCCGCAAAGAAGCGAAGCCGGCCCAAGAGCAGGUCCGCUGCAUCGGAAGCAGCCUUCGACCAGUAGAAUCCUUGUCUAAAAACUUUGCGAAGGAGUGGCAUGGAUCCAAAGUGGGCUCCACAUAUUCCUAAGUGUAUUUCCAUCAUCAAUUCUUGACCUUUGGCUCUGGAUAGACACUUUAGUAAUGGGGAGUAUACUCCUUGCUUGAACAAUUCAACUUCAGACUGUGUCAAGAUAUUUUUCAUGCUU